RNAcentral lists this ribosomal RNA (253 nucleotides) under uncultured bacterium. Its description in RNAcentral is "partial 16S ribosomal RNA". It matches the Rfam family "Bacterial small subunit ribosomal RNA", at positions 524 to 776 of the family's 1533-position model. The record is from RNAcentral.
UACGUAGGUGGCAAGCGUUAUCCGGAAUUAUUGGGCGUAAAGCGCACGCAGGUGGCUUCUUAAGUCUGACGUGAAAGCUCCUGGCUUAACCGGGAGAGGUCGUUGGCAACUGGGAGGCUUGAGGCAAGGAGAGGGGCGUAGAAUUCCCGGUGUAGUGGUGGAAUGCGUAGAUAUCGGGGGGAAUACCAGAGGCGCAAGCGGCGCCCUGGCCUUGGCCUGACGCUCAGGUGCGAAAGCGUGGGGAGCGAACAGG